GAUGAACGCUGGCGGCGUGCCUAACACAUGCAAGUCGAACGACCGGACGAGAAGCUCUCUUCUUUGCUGUUAGCGACGGACGGGUGAGUAAGAAGUAGAUAACCUUCCUCUAUGACUUGGGUAAUUUCGGGGAGACGGAGAUACUAAUAGCUCAUACUACCAACGGGUGGGUUCAGGAGAGAUUGACGGUUUUGGUGUCACUUAUAGCUGGAUCCGCGUUGGAUUAGCUAGUUGGUAAGGUAACGGCAUACCAAGGAAACGAUGCGUAGCCGACCUGAGAGGGUGAUCGGCCACACUGGAACUGAGACACGGUCCAGACUCCUACGGGAGGCAGCAGUGGGGAAUCUUCCGCAAAGGGCGAAAGCCUGACGCAGCAACGCCGCGUGAGUGAUGAAGGUCUUCGGAUCGUAAAGCUCUGUUAUUAGGGAAGAACAUAUGUGUGAGUAACUGUGGACAUCUUGACGGUACCUAAUCAAAAAGCCCCGGCUAACUACGUG
This 497-nucleotide ribosomal RNA is filed under the name uncultured bacterium. RNAcentral describes it as "partial 16S ribosomal RNA". It matches the Rfam family "Bacterial small subunit ribosomal RNA", at positions 28 to 507 of the family's 1533-position model. The record is from RNAcentral.